Molecule: ribosomal RNA, 414 nt
Filed under: uncultured soil bacterium
Lineage: Bacteria
Description: bacterial SSU rRNA
Rfam family: Bacterial small subunit ribosomal RNA
Source: RNAcentral
GAACCUUACCAGGGAUUGACAUGACCGUAGUAGUGAAGCGAAAGCGGAACGACCCUUCGGGGAGCGGUCACAGGUGAUGCAUGGCUGUCGUCAGCUCGUGCCGUGAGGUGUUUGGUUAAGUCCACUAACGAGCGCAACCCUUAGCGCCAGUUACACGUGUCUGGCGCGACUGCCGGUAUUAAGCCGGAGGAAGGUGGGGAUGACGUCAAGUCAGCAUGUCCUUUAUACCCUGGGCGACACACACGCUACAAUGGCCAGCACAAUGGGUCGCCAAGCCGUGAGGCGGAGCCAAUCCUAAAAAGCUGGUCCCAGUUCGGAUUGCAGGCUGCAACCCGCCUGCAUGAAGUCGGAGUUGCUAGUAACCGCAGGACAGCUAUACUGCGGUGAAUACGUUCCCGGGCCUUGUCACACCGA